Molecule: unclassified non-coding RNA, 1741 nt
Filed under: Hevea brasiliensis (rubber tree)
Lineage: Eukaryota; Viridiplantae; Streptophyta; Magnoliopsida; Malpighiales; Euphorbiaceae
Source: RNAcentral
CAUGCUUUAUUUUCUUUUCUGUUGAUAUUUCAGUGUGUUAAUAGACGGUGUGUUGUAUCUAUUUCAUUUCAUUUUGCAUUUUAGGCGGAUGCAUGACUUCAAAACUAAUAAUUUUCGUAUGAGAUCAAAAAAAAAAAAAAAAAGCAUGGAAAUUAACCUGCCUACCAGUGACAUCACUACAACUAUAUGCAGUGUAUAAUAAUUGUUUGUCUACUUAGAUUUCUUGCCCAUUAUUCUCUGGGAAAACUUUUUGACAAGACUCUAAUCUGAGCUAUUAUGAACUUCCAAGCCAAAUCCUCUUCAAGUUUCACGAGCUUCUCAAUCUACCGGAGCACCAACAUGCUCUGUUUCCUGAAAUUAUCUAUUGGAGCCUAUAAAAACAUCAAAUAAACCACAGCAACUCAUCCAGGAGGUUCUCUGCGAUACUUGUGGAGCUGGAGGUACGAGAGGCUGGGUUUCAGUAUACUCAGAAGUCUCAGUAUCUUUGGCCUUAUCUGCAUCAUUACUAGUUUCAGAAGUAUAAGCACCUGAUGAUGUCAAUGUCCUAGACUCAUUUCCAACUACAGUAACACUUAAAAUCCCAGAGUCUUUGAUGUUUUCUGCAAACAUGCUAGUUUCAGCACUAUGAGCACCUGACAAAGGCAAUGCCUUAUCCUCAUUACCAUUCACAGUAGAACUAACCAUAUUUGUUGAUGACCCAACAUUUUCAUCCAAUAAGGGGAAAAGAUUAUCCUUAUUUUUCUCUGGUACCAAACGAGAUAAAACAUCAUUGGAUUCCCGCAGCAAUUUUUCUUCAUUUUCCUUCAACCCAGGUUCAACAACAUCCAGAACCUCUGAAUUCUCAACUUCAGCACCUUCCAUCACAUGCUUUGCCACUUCAGACAUAGGCACCACAGGCGCAACCACGUCAACACUAGGGGCAGUUUCUGUAAAUGAAUUACCAUUUGCUUUAUUAAGUGGUUUUUCAAGACCCAAAGCCUGUGUCACCUCUUCAGUAAAUACCUUUUGCACAUUAUCUGAAGCUGAAUUAAGGGCUUCCUCCUUCCAUUUCUUGUCCAAAACUUGAGGCUCAUCAUCAGAACUACUACUGCUAGAGCUUUUGUCAUAUCCAUCAUGUGCCUCCUUUGCAGACUGAACAUGCUCCACAUUAACGUCUUUGCUCUCCAUAUACUGCUCAGGGUUCAGUUCUUUCUCAAUUAUAACGAUAGUGUCAUCCCCUACUCCAAUUUUUUGGCUUCCUUCUGCAUCCUCAAUGACUCCAUCAUUGGGCUUGCAUUCAGAGGCUAAGGACGACGAGUUUGUCUUCUCAGAUUCUUGAUUCUCCUCAUUAAAUGGAUGCUGAUCGUUAUGGUGGUCCUGUGAUAAAGGAGAACCAACCUCACCACUAUCGCUCUCCCUCUCGUCCUGGCUUCUCGGAUCUUCACUUCCUCGAGGGCUACUGUCAUCUAAUGAAGAAGAAUUGUUGCUGUUAUUGUUGGCCUGCUGUUCCCUCUUUUUCUUAGCUGCUUUUCUCUUCUUUGCACCUGAUGGCAUGAUUGAUCGUGCCCUUUCUCACUUGUCGCGGGGCAACAACCGAAAAGAAAAAAUAUACCCAGAUCGUGGGGUGUCCCCAAGGCCCUAGACCCCUCUCUCCCUCUUCGUAUUCUCUGUAAAAUAGUACAAGUUAACAGGUAGGCCUUACGGGUGGAGAUGAGGAGCGUCUAGUAACAUGGCGUUCAGAAUCUGUUUCCCUAUCUGUCUC